Molecule: ribosomal RNA, 325 nt
Filed under: uncultured soil bacterium
Lineage: Bacteria
Description: bacterial SSU rRNA
Rfam family: Bacterial small subunit ribosomal RNA
Source: RNAcentral
AAUCAACGCUGGCGGCGUGCCUAACACAUGCAAGUCGAACGCGAAAGCCCCGCAAGGGGUAAGUAGAGUGGCAAACGGGUGAGUAACACGUGGGUAAUCUGCCUCAGAGCGGGGAAUAACACCGGGAAACCGGUGCUAAUACCGCAUACGAUCACGAUGUCUGCGGAUGUUGUGAUGAAAGGCGCAAGUCGCUCUGAGAGGAGCCCGCGGCUGAUUAGCUAGUUGGUGGGGUAAUGGCCCACCAAGGCAACGAUCAGUAGCCGGUCUGAGAGGACGGUCGGCCACACUGGAACUGAGACACGGUCCAGACUCCUACGGGAGGCAG